This 194-nucleotide ribosomal RNA is filed under the name uncultured bacterium. RNAcentral describes it as "partial 16S ribosomal RNA". It matches the Rfam family "Bacterial small subunit ribosomal RNA", at positions 338 to 524 of the family's 1533-position model. The record is from RNAcentral.
CCUACGGGAGGCAGCAGUGGGGAAUAUUGGACAAUGGGCGCAAGCCUGAUCCAGCCAUGCCGCGUGUGUGAAGAAGGUCUUCGGAUUGUAAAGCACUUUAAGUUGGGAGGAAGGGCAUUAACCUAAUACGUUAGUGUUUUGACGUUACCGACAGAAUAGGCACCGGCUAACUUCGUGCCAGCAGCCGCGGUAAU